Long non-coding RNA from Falco peregrinus (peregrine falcon), 854 nucleotides. RefSeq lists it as uncharacterized. The record is from RefSeq and is a predicted model, not a curated record. The transcript is spliced from 3 exons. Lineage: Eukaryota; Metazoa; Chordata; Aves; Falconiformes; Falconidae.
GUGUCCUGUGGAGAAAGGAGAGAUAACACAGACAGUAGACUUUAGCUAAUGCUGAAGUCUUGUUGUAGUCUGCUAGUUUCUUUGUGCUGCAAUAGUUUGUGUUCUGUGUGAGGUUGAUUAAGUUGGACUCUGACAACAACAACUGGUGUCCACCAUAGCUGAGGCAAGUGGGAGUGCCUGUGACCCAUAACAGACACUAUGAGAGCAGGAACAAUGACUCCUUGUAAGCGAUACUGAUGGAUGGUGUUGCCGCAGGGUAUGAAAACCAGUCCUACUAUGUCAAUGAUGCAGGGCCAUGGUGGCUUCCCACUAGGUGUGUUAAGCCUGUUUUGGAUCCUAGAAUUGACAAGAGGACAUCGGAUACCAGCUGUUCCGCAGACCCCUUGAGAGGAGAGUCACAACAUCUGGGUGAUGCUGAUGCAGAGCCUGAAUCGGAUGUAGCUUUGUGCCUUCUUAACUCAAUCUGAACAGCCUUUCCACACCUCCUGCCAAGGGCCCUACAAUAGAUGAUAGACACAGCCCUUUUAGUUAAAAACAAAAAGGGGGAGUUGUAGAGGAAUGAAGGCAGUGGGUUGAUUAGCAUUGAUAAUAUGCAGCUGUGGCCUUGCCUAGAAGGCAGUGGGUUGAUUGACAUGGAUGAUGUGUAGCUGUAGCUCAUUCCUGCUAAGUAGUUAAAUAGCCCUGAGGAUUGUGGGAAAGGGGUUGGAAUGACAGGGAGCAGUGUGGUUUGACCUCUGGAGGAAGGAGAUAGAGCACAGACAGUAGAAUCUGACUGAUGGUAAAGCCUUGUUGCAGCCUACUAGUGUUUGUGCUGCAAUAGUGAGGGUUGCUGCAAUCAGUGACAGGAGCUUUGG